RNAcentral lists this long non-coding RNA (2459 nucleotides) under Salmo salar (Atlantic salmon). RNAcentral's name for it is "lncRNA (ENSSSAG00000099447.1)". The record is from RNAcentral. Lineage: Eukaryota; Metazoa; Chordata; Actinopteri; Salmoniformes; Salmonidae.
UUAAAAUAAUGUCUGUGAGUAUAACAAAACUGAUAAGGCAGGCGAAAACCCGAGGAAAAUCCAUCCAGGAAGUACUAUUAUUUUGAAAGGCUGUUUUUCCAUUGAAAGCCUAUCCACCAUACAAAGACUUAGGACCCAAUUCACGAUCUCUAUGUCUUCUUCUACAUGUGGCCAGUCUUUAGGCGUUGUUUCAGGCUUUUACUCUGAAAAAUGAGGGAGAUACAGCACUUUCAAUGAGUGGACAGUGGAAAUUUCCAGACAUGAGCCCAGCACGUGAUUGGGAGCGGGCAUUUGUUGUUUCUCCUUUUCUAUUGACGAAGCUUUUGUCCGGAUGAAAUAUUAUUGAUUAUUUAUGACAAAAACAACCUGAGGAUUGAUUUUAAACAUCGUUUGACAUGUUUCUAUGAACUUUUAUUGUACUUUUUUUCCUUUCGUCUUUGUACCUUUGGAUUACUGAACUAAACACACCAACAAAACUGAGGUUUUUGGACAUAAAGAGGGACAUUAUCAAACAGAACUAACAUUUAUUGUGUAACAUGGAGCCCUGGGAGUGCCACCAGAUGAAGAUCAUUAAAGGUGGGACGCUAGCGUCCCAAUGAUACCAGAGAGGUUAAAGUCCCCAGGCUACUAGGAGCCUGCCUCUGGGCCACCCGACGCCAGAGCUCCAAAGACACUGCUGCUGCUGAUUUCUUGCCUCUAGCAGAGAGCUACCUGGCCGACUACAGUGACAAACACACACUCUCUAUCAAACUCAAGACUGACAAACUCACGCUCUCUAUCCCACUUUGCCCGCGCUGCCGCAAGGAGGGAUCCCCAGCUCAGCUCAUCAAACAUAAUUAUUUUCAGUUGUGUGAAAUAUGUGACAUUUUUAUUUCACGUGUGAAAUUAUAUUGAUAUCUAAUGUUUGCAGUGAAUAUUAGAGCAAUUCUUGAAUGUGAGCAUCUUAGUGUAUCCUGGAGUUGGUAUAUUAAACUACCUGCCACUGGGUUAGGCAUCCUCACAUAAAAAACGAUUGCCCUUCCUAUUUCUGGGCAAUGAUUGCUCUGUUCAGUCCUUUAUCAUUGAUGACCUUGGAGGACACCAGAAAGAUGAUAGCCUUUUGAUUUUAAGUUGUAUAUGAUGAUUACAAUAACAACCAGUCUGGUUAUACAAGGCAAUUGACUGAUUUAUUGGGACAAGGCUUGAAUUAUUAAUAGACAUCUCAUUAUUAAUUUGUUUUGGGUAUCAGAAGAUACGUCCAACACAAGCCAUGAAUAGCUUACUUUGAUAUAUGGCUGACUAACUUUAGUUUUCGUAUGUAUUGUUGUGAUUGCGUUGACAGACAAUAUCAAAAAAGUGUUUAUGGACAUAUUCAACCUCUCUUUAUCCCAGUCUGCUGUCCCCACAUGCUUCAAGAUGGCUACCAUUGAUCCUGUACCCGAGAAAGCGAAGGUAACUGAAUUAAAUGACUAUCACCCCGUAGCACUCACUUCUGUCAUCAUGAAGUGCUUUGAGAGACUAGUCAAGGAUUAUAUCACCUCUACCUUACCUGACACCCUAGACCCACUUCGAUUUGCUUCCCGCCCCAAUAGAUCCACAAACGAUGCAAUCGCCAUCACACUGCACACUGCCCUAUCCCACCUUAACAAGAGGAAUACCUAUGUAAGAAUGCUGUUCAUUGACUAUAGCUUAGCAUUCAACACCAUAGUACCCUCCAAGCUCAUCAUUAAGCUCGAGGCCCUGGGUCUGAACUCCGCCCUGUGCAACUGGAUCCUGGAUUUAAAAUGUAUGUAAAAUCUCAGAAAUAUUCUAUAUUAAACUCCGAAAUAGACAUAUGUGUCAGUGGGCUCAUCAUUUAAAUAAAAAAUUGCUUUCAAUUCUGAAUUUUAACAUAAAUCUAAUCUUCCUGGGAUUGUCCUUAACAUUUCAGACUGAGCUCAGAAAACAUUACAUUUAUAUUUAUUCAUCUUUGCUAUUUUAUUUAACAAAUAUUGUCAUGUGACGGGGUUGAGACUAGGGUGAUAGGGUUGAAUACUGUAACGGGGUUGAGACUAGGGUGAUAGGGUUGAAUACUGUAACGGGGUUGAGACUAGGGUGAUAGGGUUGAAUACUGUAACGGGGUUGAGACUAGGGUUAUAGGGUUGAAUACUGUAACGGGGUUGAGACUAGGGUGAUAGGGUUGAAUACUGUAACGGGGUUGAGACUAGGGUGAUAGGGUUGAAUACUGUAACGGGGUUGAGACUAGGGUGAUAGGGUUGAAUACUGUAAUGGGGUUGAGACUAGGGUGAUAGGGUUGAAUACUGUAACGGGUUGAGACUAGGGUGAUAGGGUUGAAUACUGUAACGGGGUUGAAGAGACACAUCGGUUUCCAUAUAAACUACUUUAGUUUACUGUCAAAAUCCCUCCGAGAUUUACCCCAAAACAUUGCAUUUCAUUGUAUGCAACCAUGUAAUAAGGACAUUAGAUAUAUUUAGAAUAAU